RNAcentral lists this ribosomal RNA (497 nucleotides) under uncultured bacterium. RNAcentral describes it as "partial 16S ribosomal RNA". It matches the Rfam family "Bacterial small subunit ribosomal RNA", at positions 28 to 507 of the family's 1533-position model. The record is from RNAcentral.
GAUGAACGCUGGCGGCGUGCCUAAUACAUGCAAGUCGAGCGAACAGACGAGGAGCUUGCUCCUCUGACGUUAGCGGCGGACGGGUGAGUAACACGUGGAUAACCUACCUAUAAGACUGGGAUAACUUCGGGAAACCGGAGCUAAUACCGGAUAAUAUAUUGAACCGCAUGGUUCAAUAGUGAAAGACGGUUUUGCUGUCACUUAUAGAUGGAUCCGCGCCGCAUUAGCUAGUUGGUAAGGUAACGGCUUACCAAGGCAACGAUGCGUAGCCGACCUGAGAGGGUGAUCGGCCACACUGGAACUGAGACACGGUCCAGACUCCUACGGGAGGCAGCAGUAGGGAAGCUUCCGCAAUGGGCGAAAGCCUGACGGAGCAGCGCCGCGUGAGUGAUGAAGGUCUUCGGAUCGUAAAACUCUGUUAUUAGGGAAGAACAAAUGUGUAAGUAACGAUGCACGUCUUGACGGUACCUAAUCAGAAAGCCACGGCUAACUACGUG